Molecule: ribosomal RNA, 958 nt
Filed under: Escherichia coli
Lineage: Bacteria; Pseudomonadati; Pseudomonadota; Gammaproteobacteria; Enterobacterales; Enterobacteriaceae
Description: partial 23S ribosomal RNA
Rfam family: Bacterial large subunit ribosomal RNA
Source: RNAcentral
CCGGUAAACGGCGGCCGUAACUAUAACGGUCCUAAGGUAGCGAAAUUCCUUGUCGGGUAAGUUCCGACCUGCACGAAUGGCGUAAUGAUGGCCAGGCUGUCUCCACCCGAGACUCAGUGAAAUUGAACUCGCUGUGAAGAUGCAGUGUACCCGCGGCAAGACGGAAAGACCCCGUGAACCUUUACUAUAGCUUGACACUGAACAUUGAGCCUUGAUGUGUAGGAUAGGUGGGAGGCUUAGAAGUGUGGACGCCAGUCUGCAUGGAGCCGACCUUGAAAUACCACCCUUUAAUGUUUGAUGUUCUAACGUUGACCCGUAAUCCGGGUUGCGGACAGUGUCUGGUGGGUAGUUUGACUGGGGCGGUCUCCUCCUAAAGAGUAACGGAGGAGCACGAAGGUUGGCUAAUCCUGGUCGGACAUCAGGAGGUUAGUGCAAUGGCAUAAGCCAGCUUGACUGCGAGCGUGACGGCGCGAGCAGGUGCGAAAGCAGGUCAUAGUGAUCCGGUGGUUCUGAAUGGAAGGGCCAUCGCUCAACGGAUAAAAGGUACUCCGGGGAUAACAGGCUGAUACCGCCCAAGAGUUCAUAUCGACGGCGGUGUUUGGCACCUCGAUGUCGGCUCAUCACAUCCUGGGGCUGAAGUAGGUCCCAAGGGUAUGGCUGUUCGCCAUUUAAAGUGGUACGCGAGCUGGGUUUAGAACGUCGUGAGACAGUUCGGUCCCUAUCUGCCGUGGGCGCUGGAGAACUGAGGGGGGCUGCUCCUAGUACGAGAGGACCGGAGUGGACGCAUCACUGGUGUUCGGGUUGUCAUGCCAAUGGCACUGCCCGGUAGCUAAAUGCGGAAGAGAUAAGUGCUGAAAGCAUCUAAGCACGAAACUUGCCCCGAGAUGAGUUCUCCCUGACUCCUUGAGAGUCCUGAAGGAACGUUGAAGACGACGACGUUGAUAGGCCGGGUGUGUAA